Homo sapiens (human) is the source of this 919-nucleotide long non-coding RNA. RefSeq lists it as uncharacterized. Lineage: Eukaryota; Metazoa; Chordata; Mammalia; Primates; Hominidae. The record is from RefSeq and is a predicted model, not a curated record. The transcript has 3 exons.
CUCCCCGAGGGCGCUGGCUGCACUAGCUAGUCCACUCCCGAGCCUAGCAGCGCCGUCAGGCCCACAGCGCCAACGCCGCGCAGGGCAAGGGUGCAGCCACUGGCGGGAAAGUAGUACGCGGGCCACUUCCUGGCUAGGACUACAGGGACCUUUGCAGCCCCCCACCCCGCAGCGCCCACGCACCUGCCUAGAGGAUCCAGCUAGCUCCGGACGCUCCCCGAUUCCGCGCUCCUUGCUCGCGGUACUUCCGUAAUCUAGGCUCUCCCUGCCCCCGGGGCUGGGCGGGCGCCACUGCGCCGGAACCCCGCCCCGCACCAGGCGGGCGCAGCGUCCCAAGCAGGGACGAUAGCCGGAACGCGCCCGGAAUCGGGUCCGCCAGGUUUGAGUUUCCUGCCUGAUGAUCAGAGCCAGAAGCACAGGUCUCCAGGAAAUGCCACCACUGGAUAGAGAGCCACACGCUGCUUCCUAUCAUACGUCUACCUGGACCUAACUCAGGAAGAAACAUACACUUCCUACAUUUUAUCCCAUAAGCAAAGCAACUUCUGUAGAACUGCCCAUGGAGAUUUUGUCUUAACUUCAAAAAGUGCUUCUCCUAAUUUAUUUUCUGUUGCACGGUAUCAAGAAGCACCUGUGGAAAAAAAGGAUUCAAAAGAAGAAAACCAUAACCAUCUUACAAGUUUUUGCAUUGCUGAAGACUGACGACUUCACCCAGACCCACCAACUGGUCCUGGGACCCCCACCCAGGAACCCAUUCAGUGCAGGAGGACAGCUUCAGCUCCCUGUGUCUUCACGUGUGACCCAAUUGAUCAGCACUUCCCUCUUCCUGGCCCCCUACUGACCAAACUAUCCUUUAAAAACCCUAGUCACUGAGUUUCCAGGGAGACUAAUUUGACUAAUAAUAAAACUGGUCUCCCAUUCA